GUCCACGCCCUAAACUAUGUCAACUAGUUGUCGGGGAAGAAAUUCCUUGGUAACGAAGCUAACGCGUGAAGUUGACCGCCUGGGGAGUACGGCCGCAAGGUUAAACUCAAAGGAAUUGACGGGGACCCGCACAAGCGGUGGAUUAUGUGGAUUAAUUCGAUGCAACGCGAAAACCUUACCUACCCUUGACAUGCUAGGAAGCCCGCAGAGAUGUGGGUGUGCCCGAAAGGGAACCUAGACACAGGUGCUGCAUGGCUGUCGU
This 262-nucleotide ribosomal RNA is filed under the name uncultured bacterium. RNAcentral's name for it is "partial 16S ribosomal RNA". It matches the Rfam family "Bacterial small subunit ribosomal RNA", at positions 793 to 1055 of the family's 1533-position model. The record is from RNAcentral.